UGCAUCUGGGGCCUGUGAGGAUGAGAACCUCCGGGGGCAGGAGGUUCGACUCGAGCGAAGCGAGAGAACGUUGCGUCAGCAACGGCCCGCAGGGCGAGCCACGAAGUGGUGAGUCAU
Molecule: small RNA, 117 nt
Filed under: Klebsiella pneumoniae
Lineage: Bacteria; Pseudomonadati; Pseudomonadota; Gammaproteobacteria; Enterobacterales; Enterobacteriaceae
Description: partial RtT sRNA
Rfam family: RtT RNA
About the family: This family represents a bacterial cis-regulatory element known as RtT RNA.
Source: RNAcentral